RNAcentral lists this ribosomal RNA (515 nucleotides) under uncultured bacterium. RNAcentral's name for it is "bacterial SSU rRNA". It matches the Rfam family "Bacterial small subunit ribosomal RNA", at positions 994 to 1509 of the family's 1533-position model. The record is from RNAcentral.
AACUUAGCAGAGAUGCUUUGGUUCCUUCGGGAACUCUGAGACAGGUGCUGCAUGGCUGUCGUCAGCUCGUGUUGUGAAAUGUUGGGUUAAGUCCCGCAACGAGCGCAACCCUUAUCCUUUGUUGCCAGCGGUCCGGCCGGGAACUCAAAGGAGACUGCCAGUGAUAAACUGGAGGAAGGUGGGGAUGACGUCAAGUCAUCAUGGCCCUUACGAGUAGGGCUACACACGUGCUACAAUGGCGCAUACAAAGAGAAGCGACCUCGCGAGAGCAAGCGGACCUCAUAAAGUGCGUCGUAGUCCGGAUUGGAGUCUGCAACUCGACUCCAUGAAGUCGGAAUCGCUAGUAAUCGUAGAUCAGAAUGCUACGGUGAAUACGUUCCCGGGCCUUGUACACACCGCCCGUCACACCAUGGGAGUGGGUUGCAAAAGAAGUAGGUAGCUUAACCUUCGGGAGGGCGCUUACCACUUUGUGAUUCAUGACUGGGGUGAAGUCGUAACAAGGUAGGCGUAGCGAG